This is an unclassified non-coding RNA of Chrysemys picta bellii (western painted turtle), 165 nucleotides long. Lineage: Eukaryota; Metazoa; Chordata; Testudines; Emydidae. The record is from Ensembl.
UUGACAGCCCUGAAUAAUGAAGACCUCUAUUUCUCCAUAAGACAAGUACAGUAGAGGCAACUGCACUGCAAGAUUCCCCACAUUCCUUGCCUGUGUGCCUGAAGUUAGGAUCUUUGGGAUGAGAGUGCGGUUCAUUCUCCAUGGAUCAUUUAGACCUCAGUCUUU